This 498-nucleotide ribosomal RNA is filed under the name uncultured bacterium. RNAcentral describes it as "partial 16S ribosomal RNA". It matches the Rfam family "Bacterial small subunit ribosomal RNA", at positions 28 to 523 of the family's 1533-position model. The record is from RNAcentral.
GACGAACGCUGGCGGCGUGCUUAACACAUGCAAGUCGAACGGUAAGGCCCUUCGGGGUACACGAGUGGCGAACGGGUGAGUAACACGUGGGUGAUCUGCCCUGCACUUCGGGAUAAGCCUGGGAGACUGGGUCUAAUACCGGAUAGGACCCUGGGAUGCAUGUCCUGGGGUGGAAAGCUUUUGCGGUGUGGGAUGGGCCCGCGGCCUAUCAGCUUGUUGGGGGGGUGAUGGCCUACCAAGGCGACGAUCUGUAGCGGGUCUGAGAGGAUGAUCCGCCACACUGGGACUGAGACACGGCCCAGACUCCUACGGGAGGCAGCAGUGGGGAAUUUUGGACAAUGGGGGCAACCCUGAUCCAGCCAUGCCGCGUGAGUGAAGAAGGCCUUCGGGUUGUAAAGCUCUUUCGGCCGGGAAGAAAUCGCACAGGCUAAUACUCUGUGUGGAUGACGGUACCGGCAUAAGAAGCACCGGCUAACUACGUGCCAGCCGCCGCCGUAA